RNAcentral lists this ribosomal RNA (192 nucleotides) under Triticum aestivum (bread wheat). RNAcentral's name for it is "partial small subunit ribosomal RNA". Lineage: Eukaryota; Viridiplantae; Streptophyta; Magnoliopsida; Poales; Poaceae. The record is from RNAcentral.
UUUCUAGAGAUUCUAGAGAAAGCGAGACAAAGUGAAACGACAAAGUACACCCCUUCUUCUUGCGCAAAAGAUCUUACCAUUUCCGAAGGAACUGGGGCUACAUUUCUUUUCAAUUUCCAUUCAAGAUUUUCUAUAUGUUUCCACGCCCUUUUCUUGAGACCUCGAAACAUGAGGACAAAUUACUUCUCUUAG